RNAcentral lists this ribosomal RNA (371 nucleotides) under Staphylococcus aureus. Its description in RNAcentral is "bacterial SSU rRNA". It matches the Rfam family "Bacterial small subunit ribosomal RNA", at positions 1 to 361 of the family's 1533-position model. Lineage: Bacteria; Bacillati; Bacillota; Bacilli; Caryophanales; Staphylococcaceae. The record is from RNAcentral.
UUUAUGGAGAGUUUGAUCCUGGCUCAGGAUGAACGCUGGCGGCGUGCCUAAUACAUGCAAGUCGAGCGAACGGACGAGAAGCUUGCUUCUCUGAUGUUAGCGGCGGACGGGUGAGUAACACGUGGAUAACCUACCUAUAAGACUGGGAUAACUUCGGGAAACCGGAGCUAAUACCGGAUAAUAUUUUGAACCGCAUGGUUCAAAAGUGAAAGACGGUCUUGCUGUCACUUAUGGAUGGAUCCGCGCUGCAUUAGCUAGUUGGUAAGGUAACGGCUUACCAAGGCAACGAUGCAUAGCCGACCUGAGAGGGUGAUCGGCCACACUGGAACUGAGACACGGUCCAGACUCCUACGGGAGGCAGCAGUAGGGAA